UGCGUGUGUUGGGGGGGAAGACGGUAAACAAUUCCCAGAAAAGGAAGAAGGCUUCACAGACAGAAACAAUCAGUGUCCACUUCUAGAGACGAGUGUUCACAUUACCAGCCAACCGCUCUGUACCAAGUGUCUGUUCUGCUCAAGUAACAAAGCAUCCAGAACCAAUUAUUACUAAUUUGAGUUGAGUAAAAUAUCAUUCUAACAAUAACAAAAGAACAGCCCAAUUUAAAAAAUGGACAAAAGGCUUAAAGACAAUUCUCCAAAGAAUCUAUACAAAUGAAGACUGAACCGAUGAAAAUAUGUUCCACCUCACUAAUAAUGAGGCAGCAAAGACCGGAUUCGCACCAAUUUGAACAGGUUUCAUUUAAGAGAAGGAGAAGAGAAGGAAGAUGAGAAAGGACAAAGCAGGUAUAAGGGAGUAGAGAACUGGAUCCCUCGUGUGUUGCUGAUGAGAAUGUAAGACAAUGCAGCAAUGUAGGGAGCAGUUUGGCAGGUCUUCAAAGCCGUAAACAUAGAGCUGCUAUAAGAUCCCUCCGUUUCACCCCUGGCUGUAUACCUAAGGGAACCAAAAGCCCAGACUCCAACAGUCAACCCAGCCGCACUGUCAAAUGAUGUUGACAUCUGAGUGCCCAUCAGUCGCUGUAGACAAGCACAGCGUGGUAAGGCCGGCUGUACACAGCAAUACCAAUGGACUUUAAAGACAUCACAUGAAGAGAAAUAAGCCCGUUGCAAAUCGUGGACAAAUGAUGUGUAGUUGCAUUUGUAGAAGCUGCCUUGAAGAGUCAGAUUCCUAGAAAAUAGAAUGGUGGCCGCCAAGAGCUGGAGGCAGGGGAGAGCGUUGCAUUUGUACUCAUUUCGUGUGAGUGCAGGUGUGUAUUUGGGUGCAAAUAAAAGCCAAGGG
Mus caroli (Ryukyu mouse) is the source of this 901-nucleotide non-coding RNA. Lineage: Eukaryota; Metazoa; Chordata; Mammalia; Rodentia; Muridae. The record is from RefSeq and is a predicted model, not a curated record.